This is a long non-coding RNA of Lemur catta (Ring-tailed lemur), 1452 nucleotides long. RefSeq lists it as uncharacterized. The record is from RefSeq and is a predicted model, not a curated record. The transcript is spliced from 2 exons. NCBI's taxonomy places the organism in Eukaryota, Metazoa, Chordata, Mammalia, Primates, Lemuridae.
UGGGGACGGUGGAAGGAGACCCGCCCCGAGGGGUGUGCGUCCAGCUGUGCUGAGUGGACGUUACAGGGCCCUCAGCCAUGUUUACGAUGACUUCUGUCUCCCAGAGGAAAAUACACCUGCUGACAACAGGGCCCCGGGCUGGGGCAGCCCCGCCAUCUGCGACCCCACCUUCUGUAGUCCCCGCGCUUUCUUCAUGAGCAGCUGAAGCGAAGGCAGGCCAAGCACCUGAGGUCACGGAGCUAAAGACACCGCUUCUGGAUGUCAACACAAGGCCAGACAAUCGUCACUAGAGACAGCCAUAAGCCAAUGCUGGGGACGCUGAGGGUAGAAGGCCAGCCCCUCCUAGGCCGUGAGGACUGGCACGGCUGGGCCAUCUGGCGGCAUGGAUCAUUGAAGGCCCAGAAAAGCAGUCGCUGCCACCCCCACAGGCACAGGUCCUGACGCCCCAGCCCACUGUGGCUCUUCCCGAGCGCAGGGUGGGGAGAGGGCCGCUCCUGGACUGCACGCCCGUGAGGGCAGGGGACCCAGCAGCGCCUUGCGAGCCGAGUGUGCAGGGUGGGGAGCACCCAGGCCAGGGCGGACGAGCAGACGCCAGGGCCCCCCCCCGGCGCCUACCGAGGAAGAUGAGCAGCACGCCCACGCCAAUCUGCAGCGCCAGGGAGAUGGAGAUGAGGACCACCAGGGGCACGUAGAAGGCGAAGCUGGGGCCCUGCUCCACGACAGCCUUCAGCUGGGACGCGUUGGCCAUCAGCAGGGCGAUGUCCAGCAUGCUCUCGGCCGCGCUCUUCUUGCUGGCAUAAUGGUUCAGGUUGAUGGGCUGCUGCCUCCGGCCCCAGCGGGACGGCUGCAGGGAGGGGGACGGUCAGCGGGGCAGUGGGGUGGGGGUCGCCCUUCACGCGAGGGCUUCUCUUGCCCCCGCCUUGGUAAGUGCGUGUUACUCUAAUGACAGCCCUUGAGAAUGCGCUUGGCCUCUACAAAACCUUCCCUAGGAAUACAGGCCUGGAGAGAAAGGAAACAUAGAACAGCAGCCUCAGCACAAACUCUGGUUUUUGACUGGAAAUGCCCGCCACACAAUCCCUGCCCUCCUGCUGUGGGUGAGGCGGCUCCGCCCUGCCCGCCCAGGCCCGCCUGUGCCCCAGGCCUCCCCUCCCCUCGGGAUCUGGGCUCGGUCGGUGCCAGGCAGGGAAGUGACGUGUAGGCAGGCGGAUCCAUGCAAGCUGGCCCAGGCGUGAAACAAGGGCCGAGACCCCCUCUGCCGCCUCCCAACCCCCUAGCCUUGGGACCCCGCAGGCCACUCCGUCCCCCGAGCCUCAGCAUGGGCCCUGAGAAAGGUCUGCCCACCUCACCAGGCCACUGUAAGCAGCAAGGCACCGGCUGAGGUGGGGCACUCAGAGCCCACCAGCCCGCUGCAUGCAGCAGGCGUUCAAUAAAUGUCUCAGCAUAUCAUGUACA